RNAcentral lists this transfer RNA (73 nucleotides) under Stegodyphus mimosarum. It matches the Rfam family "tRNA". From Rfam's summary of the family: Transfer RNA (tRNA) molecules are approximately 80 nucleotides in length. Their secondary structure includes four short double-helical elements and three loops (D, anti-codon, and T loops). Lineage: Eukaryota; Metazoa; Arthropoda; Arachnida; Araneae; Eresidae. The record is from Rfam by way of RNAcentral.
GCCUUCGUGGUGUAGUGGUCAGCACGUUUGGCGCGUACUCCAAAGGUUCGCGGUUCGAGUCCCGGCGAUUGCA